RNAcentral lists this transfer-messenger RNA (392 nucleotides) under Candidatus Kaiserbacteria bacterium. It matches the Rfam family "transfer-messenger RNA". From Rfam's summary of the family: Bacterial tmRNA, also known as 10Sa RNA or SsrA, is named for its dual tRNA and mRNA-like properties. Lineage: Bacteria; Candidatus Kaiseribacteriota. The record is from RNAcentral.
GGGGGUGUCAGGCCUUGACAGUUAACACAGUCCCCCAUAGGUGCAUAGUGAUGAGAGAUCAUCUAAAACAUCCACAAGUUGCAAACAAAAACAAAUUUGCACGGGCAUUUACUGAGUUUAUCAAUAGCUCAGCACCUGCGUUCGCUUAGGCGACGCAAAUGCCUCGCUCAUCCAAAUAAGGUAUGAGCCAUCCCACGGAUGAUUCUCGCUAAUCCGUACGGGUGUAAGAAAGCGAGAAAAAGUGACUUCGGCUCUAUCCCCUGCUAUAACCGGAGCAUCAAAAAAAGCAGAGACAUUGGUCGGCACAGAACCUAUCAUGUGCAGAUGCUAUGUAAAACACCUUUAGAGGACAGUUGACAUGGACGCGGGCUCAAUUCCCGCCACCUCCACUA